UGGGGAAUAUUGGACAAUGGGCGAAAGCCUGAUCCAGCCAUGCCGCGUGUGUGAAGAAGGUCUUCGGAUUGUAAAGCACUUUAAGUUGGGAGGAAGGGUUGUAGAUUAAUACUCUGCAAUUUUGACGUUACCGACAGAAUAAGCACCGGCUAACUCUGUGCCAGCAGCCGCGGUAAUACAGAGGGUGCAAGCGUUAAUCGGAAUUACUGGGCGUAAAGCGCGCGUAGGUGGUUUGUUAAGUUGGAUGUGAAAUCCCCGGGCUCAACCUGGGAACUGCAUUCAAAACUGACAAGCUAGAGUAUGGUAGAGGGUGGUGGAAUUUCUUGUGUAGCGGUGAAAUGCGUAGAUAUAGGAAGGAACACCAGUGGCGAAGGCGACCACCUGGACUGAUACUGACACUGAGGUGCGAAAGCGUGGGGAGCAAACAGGAUUAGAUACCCCAGUAGUCCCUGAGCGGGCUGGCAAGGCGCAU
This 472-nucleotide ribosomal RNA is filed under the name uncultured bacterium. RNAcentral describes it as "bacterial SSU rRNA". It matches the Rfam family "Bacterial small subunit ribosomal RNA", at positions 355 to 825 of the family's 1533-position model. The record is from RNAcentral.